UGAGAAAACCCACAAAUAAUCCCAUUAAAAAUCCUACUCGACCUCUUUUUUCCUUUCCUCCGUAAAAAAGCAUCCCUCCGUUAAAAAUCAAAUUUACGUCUUUUUAAUUUUUUCUGUGUGAAUUCUUAGCUAAUAUUGCUAUAUCGGUGGCCUUGAUAUGUAAUUGGUGCAUUGUAGGGUAAUUUGCAACUUGCAAAUUUAUAUGCUGAUACCAACAGUGUAGAGCUCAAAGGCCUGAAAUAAUUGCUCAAUUGAAUUAUUUCUUAAGGCAUUGUAUCUGCAAGUUGCAAGUGUAUAUUCUUUUCUCAAAGAAGCCGUUCCUGGUGUUUUUAGAAUCCAUUGGCUACUCUCAAGAAGAUGUGCUCCUUCAGAAGCCCAAAGCUGGGGUAUGUAUAGCUUCAAAUCAUUCUUAAUCAGAAUGCCUAAAUUACCCUUGAAUCAGGCUUUCUGAUCUAGAUUUGGAUGUGGGUUAAUAUCAGUUACUGAGUAAUAUAAUACUUGCAGCUCCUGAAGCCUACUUUCACAAUUAUAUGUGAUAAAGAUUCAAAAUGCUUCCUUUGAUAAAGAUUCAAAAUACUUCCUUUUAUUGAUUCGUGGAACCCAUAGCAUCACAGAUACACUAACAGCAGCUAGUGGUGUAGUGGUACCUUUCCUCUCUUUUAUUUUGCAUGAUGGUGGGAUAAGCAAUUUGGUUCUGGCUUUUGCAUAUUCUGGGAUAGUUGUUGCUGCUCGUUGGAUUGCUAAGGUCAACACUCCAUCCUUGCUUAAGGCUCUCAAUGACUAUCCUGACUACAAAGUUAAGCGGUUCUUCAGCAACUUGGCGUGCUGAAAUACAGUUCAAAGCUUGCCAAAUUGAUUGUGGCUAAUAAUGAAAUAGAUUCAGGCAGUGAGGAGGAAGUUAAGCUAUGGACUUACUCCAUAUAUGCUGUGGAGAGGAUGAAGGAGUUGAUCAGUAAAAAAUCAGGGAAGUAGGUGUUGCUGAAUUCCUUUGACAUUUCUAGCAAUUUUGUACUUGUAUAUUUCCUUUUGGUAUUUCAAUGAUUUUCACUCUUUUUGUUUAGAUCAAUGUAUGUCCUUUUAUUAUUUUUCUCUUCCUUUUUUUUUUCCCAAUAGUAUAUAUAAUCUUUCUCUC
Long non-coding RNA from Ziziphus jujuba (common jujube), 1132 nucleotides. RefSeq lists it as uncharacterized. The record is from RefSeq and is a predicted model, not a curated record. Lineage: Eukaryota; Viridiplantae; Streptophyta; Magnoliopsida; Rosales; Rhamnaceae. The transcript is spliced from 2 exons.